UUAUUCAAUAAGAAUCCUUUU
Caenorhabditis elegans is the source of this 21-nucleotide non-coding RNA. Lineage: Eukaryota; Metazoa; Nematoda; Chromadorea; Rhabditida; Rhabditidae. The record is from Ensembl.